AACGCGAAGAACCUUACCUACCCUUGACAUCCUCGGGAUCCGCUAGAGAUAGUGGAGUGCCUUCGGGAACCGAGAGACAGGUGCUGCAUGGCUGUCGUCAGCUCGUGUCGUGAGAUGUUGGGUUAAGUCCCGUAACGAGCGCAACCCUUGUCCUUAGUUGCCAUCAGGUAAAGCUGGGAACUCUAAGGAGACUGCCGGUGACAAGCCGGAGGAAGGUGGGGAUGACGUCAAGUCCUCAUGGCCCUUACGGGUAGGGCUACACACGUGCUACAAUGGACGGUACAAAAGGCAGCGAAACCGCGAGGUGAAGCGAAUCUUUUCAAAGCCGUUCGUAGUCCGGAUUGGAGUCUGCAACUCGACUCCAUGAAGUUGGAAUCGCUAGUAAUCGUGGAUCAGAACGCCACGGUGAAUACGUUCCCGGGCCUUGUACACACCGGUACUA
This 442-nucleotide ribosomal RNA is filed under the name uncultured bacterium. RNAcentral's name for it is "bacterial SSU rRNA". It matches the Rfam family "Bacterial small subunit ribosomal RNA", at positions 958 to 1398 of the family's 1533-position model. The record is from RNAcentral.